GUAAACUACGCGCGUUUUGGUGCCCGCCCGCAUGCUCAUGCGCGCAGUUAAACGGGAAACACGAGGCUUGUCAAACGGCUAACGUGUGCUGCCCCCGCAACGGUAAACAAGCGUCACCCGACGGUGACAGGCGAUCUCUCGACACCACUGUGCAAUUUGCAUGGGAAGGUGGAUUGCUCAAGCUUGUUAGCCCGGAUACCGGCCAGGACAAGGAGGAAGUG
RNAcentral lists this non-coding RNA (221 nucleotides) under Noviherbaspirillum autotrophicum. RNAcentral also lists the same sequence under 1 other name. Lineage: Bacteria; Pseudomonadati; Pseudomonadota; Betaproteobacteria; Burkholderiales; Oxalobacteraceae. The record is from RNAcentral.